GGUAACACUGAAUGGAGGACCGAACCGACUUACGUUGAAAAGUGAGCGGAUGAACUGAGGGUAGCGGAGAAAUUCCAAUCGAACCUGGAGAUAGCUGGUUCUCUCCGAAAUAGCUUUAGGGCUAGCCUCAAGUGAUGAUUAUUGGAGGUAGAGCACUGUUUGGACGAGGGGCCCCUCUCGGGUUACCGAAUUCAGACAAACUCCGAAUGCCAAUUAAUUUAACUUGGGAGUCAGAACAUGGGUGAUAAGGUCCGUGUUCGAAAGGGAAACAGCCCAGACCACCAGCUAAGGUCCCAAAAUAUAUGUUAAGUGGAAAAGGAUGUGGCGUUGCCCAGACAACUAGGAUGUUGGCUUAGAAGCAGCCAUCAUUUAAAGAGUGCGUAAUAGCUCACUAGUCGAGUGACACUGCGCCGAAAAUGUACCGGGGCUAAACAUAUUACCGAAGCUGUGGAUUGUCCUUUGGACAAUGGUAGGAGAGCGUUCUAAGGGCGUUGAAGCAUGAUCGUAAGGACAUGUGGAGCGCUUAGAAGUGAGAAUGCCGGUGUGAGUAGCGAAAGACGGGUGAGAAUCCCGUCCACCGAUUGACUAAGGUUUCCAGAGGAAGGCUCGUCCGCUCUGGGUUAGUCGGGUCCUAAGCUGAGGCCGACAGGCGUAGGCGAUGGAUAACAGGUUGAUAUUCCUGUACCACCUAUA
Molecule: ribosomal RNA, 693 nt
Filed under: Staphylococcus aureus
Lineage: Bacteria; Bacillati; Bacillota; Bacilli; Caryophanales; Staphylococcaceae
Description: partial 23S ribosomal RNA
Rfam family: Bacterial large subunit ribosomal RNA
Source: RNAcentral